GAAAUGCGAUAAGUAGUGUGAAUUGCAGAAUUCAGUGAAUCAUCGAAUCUUUGAACGCACAUUGCGCCCUUUGGUAUUCCAAAGGGCAUGCCUGUUCGAGCGUCAUUUGUACCCUCAAGCUUUGCUUGUUGUUGGGCGUCUUGUCUCCAGUUCGCUGGAGACUCGCCUUAAAGUAAUUGGCAGCCGGCCUACUGGUUUCGGAGCGCAGCACAAGUCGCGCUCUCUUCCAGCCAAGGUCAGCAUCCACAAAGCCUUUUUUCAACUUUUGACCUCGGAUCAGGUAGGGAUACCCGCUGAACUUAAGC
RNAcentral lists this unclassified non-coding RNA (305 nucleotides) under plant metagenome. RNAcentral describes it as "partial contains 5.8S ribosomal RNA, internal transcribed spacer 2, and large subunit ribosomal RNA". The stretch from base 1 to 105 matches the Rfam family "5.8S ribosomal RNA", at positions 50 to 154 of the family's 154-position model. The record is from RNAcentral.